UCAGGCCUAACACAUGCAAGUCGAGCGGCAGCGGGAAAGUAGCUUGCUACUUUUGCCGGCGAGCGGCGGACGGGUGAGUAAUGCCUGGGAAAUUGCCCAGUCGAGGGGGAUAACAGUUGGAAACGACUGCUAAUACCGCAUACGCCCUACGGGGGAAAGCAGGGGACCUUCGGGCCUUGCGCGAUUGGAUAUGCCCAGGUGGGAUUAGCUAGUUGGUGAGGUAAUGGCUCACCAAGGCGACGAUCCCUAGCUGGUCUGAGAGGAUGAUCAGCCACACUGGAACUGAGACACGGUCCAGACUCCUACGGGAGGCAGCAGUGGGGAAUAUUGCACAAUGGGGGAAACCCUGAUGCAGCCAUGCCGCGUGUGUGAAGAAGGCCUUCGGGUUGUAAAGCACUUUCAGCGAGGAGGAAAGGUUGAUGCCUAAUACGUAUC
RNAcentral lists this ribosomal RNA (435 nucleotides) under uncultured bacterium. RNAcentral's name for it is "bacterial SSU rRNA". It matches the Rfam family "Bacterial small subunit ribosomal RNA", at positions 42 to 470 of the family's 1533-position model. The record is from RNAcentral.